AAUAGCCUAACGGCUGAACCAGCAACUUGGAAGAAUGUAUACCGACUAUGUUGGAUAAAGUUCUAGAUAGAAUAAUGAUGAUGACAAUUUUCUAUCUAUAAGUCUUGACCAAUUCUUGUGCCAGCAGUCGCGGCAAGACAAGUAAGACUAGUGUUAUUCAUCUUUAAUAGGUGUAAAGGGUACCUAGACGGUAAAUUUAGCCCCUAAAGGGUACAGAUUUUACUAGAGUUUAGUUGUGAGAGGUAUAUAUUAGUACUGUUAGUGUAGAGAUAAAAUUCUUUGAUAGUAAUAGGCACCGAUAACGGCGAAAGCAGCCCUCUAUGCGAAAACUGACGUUGAGGGACGAAGGCUUGGGGAGCGAAUAGGAUUAGAUACCCCGGUAGUCCAGGCAGACAAUGAUGAAUGCCAUAGAUUAGUAUGUAAUUAGUCUAUAAAUGAAAGUGUAAGCAUUCCACCUCAAGAGUAAUGUGGCAACGCAGGAACUGAAAUCAUUAGACCGUUUCUGAAACCAGUAGUGAAGUAUGUUAUUUAAUUCGAUGAUCCACGAAAAACCUUACCACAAUUUGAAUAAUAAUUAUAUUUAAUUAUAUACAUGCGUUGCACGGCUGUCUUCAGUUAAUGUCGUGAGAUUUGGUUAGAUCCAUUAAAUUAACGUAAACCCUUACUUUAUUUAUAAAAUCUAUCCAUAAAAAUAAAGUAGUUCUCCGCUAUAUUGGAUAAGAUAAAAGGGACUAAGACAAGUCAUCAUGGCCUGAAUAUUGU
Molecule: ribosomal RNA, 762 nt
Filed under: Coniosporium apollinis
Lineage: Eukaryota; Fungi; Ascomycota; Dothideomycetes
Description: SSU rRNA
Rfam family: Bacterial small subunit ribosomal RNA
Source: RNAcentral